UGACUAUUAACAUUGUUCUCUUCGUAAUAACUCUGGCUAAAAUAAUUUCAUUUAGAAAAGAAAAUGCGUGUAUUCUCAAGACGCAAGACAGUACGAACACAGUUAAAGAAUCUUUGAAAUUUGAUAUAGAAAGGCUGAAGCUUUUUGCGAAACUCUCCCUUUUGAUGGGUCUCACAUACGUGUCGGAAUUCGCUUCUUGGGCGAAUUAUUUAUUUGCGUACUACUGGUACGCAUCUAAUGUGGCUAUCGCUUUGAGGGCCGUGCUCGUUUUCAUCGUUUUCUGCUGCAAGAGAAAGGUGUGGAUCUCCAUGAAACUUCAGUACCCCGUUGUUAAAACUAUUCACAGCAGAUUCACUGCGAUGAAGUUGCUGUGUUGCAAAAGACGACAAUUUGAGCUCUCAAAACUGAAAGAAAAUGAAAGUGCAACGCGGUCAACUGGAACCAGUGGAGCGAAACCGUCAGGUCCGUCAGAUGAAAAUUUAGAAAUGAAUGUUAUCUAAAUAAUUUUUGCUUAAUAUAUUUAAUUAAAAAUUCAAUUCUUUUUUAAUUGUUGGGUGCGGAUUUCAAUUGUAAAAUUGGUCGCGAGCGUCAACUCGCAGGUUGUUGCCAAGUAAAAUUAUUGAUUUUCGCUAUCUCUAUUUCUAGGACUCAAAAUGAAACCGGUCUUGAAUGUAUUAAUUUCUCAAAAGUAAAUGAAUAACAAAACUUCAUCCUCGUUCAUUCCAGAGUUGUUAAUUUCAUUGGAUUUUUGUACAACUUGCUUUCUACGCCACGCCAACACAAACUAAAAAAUUUAACAAAUAUCGAGAUACUGAUUAGAAAAUCUGCACUUAAUUCGUGGCCGUCGUAUCCCGCUGCCGCAUCAGCAAAAUCUCCUCUCUCUGGCGGCGCAGCUCGCCUGCAUCGCGAGUAGUAGUGAAAAUGAGAAACGAUAUGCAACCCGCGCUCAAAGACUGUUCGGUGGUGCAGAUUCCUUCCCUUUUUGUAAGGCGUAUGUGAUGGCAAGAUUUUAACGUGUAUUUUGAUGUCAUUUUAAUUCAUAUUAUUUUCUAGUCUUGGCUCACUUCGGCUGUGUUAUCCUGACAGAAGUGUUUAAUAGAAGUUUCGCCCAUUCUCACAUAAAUAAUUGGACAGUUUUUAAGAAAUUGUCCAAUUAAGUCUGGUAAAGAUCGUAAUAUUUUAUACUACAUUAUAGGAAAGGAUAUUAGAAGCAGAAAGGAAUUGCAUCAGAGAGAUGAAAUACCGGAGGAGUAGAAAAGGUUGAAAUUAAAAUAUAUAAUAUUAUUAAUCAUUCGAGGCAAAAGAGCCGGGUGGCAUAUUUCUGACCGGGCACAUCGAGUUCAAGCGGCUCUCGGAGGGUGCAACUUGAAAUGCGGAGGUGCACUCUGAUGCUUUGCUCGGACUAAAUUUCUCGGAGCAGUUUUAGUCAGCAAAGUUUUUUUUAUUUAGAUUAAAAACUAUUUUGUGUUCUCUGGCGGAGCAACUUUUAUUCAUUUAUAUACUCCAUUAAUCAACACGCACAUUUUUUAGUAUGGUUUUUUAGUUUAGU
This is a long non-coding RNA of Cloeon dipterum, 1549 nucleotides long. RefSeq lists it as uncharacterized. The record is from RefSeq and is a predicted model, not a curated record. NCBI's taxonomy places the organism in Eukaryota, Metazoa, Arthropoda, Insecta, Ephemeroptera, Baetidae. The transcript is spliced from 3 exons.